ACCUAAAAAUUUAUUUAUAAAAAAAUUGCAUUUUACAAUCAAUAUGAAAAAAAUUAGAACUUACUCUUUUAUCUCAUCAACAAUAGGAUUAAUCAUUGUUGUAAUAGCAACUUUUGAAAAAUGAUUUGGGCAAUAUGAAGAGCCAAGGACAAUUUUUUUACUGCACUUGGACCUGUAAGUAUUAUCAAAGGUGGACUUAAUUCAUCAUAUGGUGUUACAUGUAAGUCAAUUUUAGGGAUGCUUAAUUGUUCUAAUAAAGUUAGUUUUGUGAUAGUACGAGCAGCUGUUAAAUUUAUUGGUGAUGUAAAUAAAGUUGCAGCAGCAAUCUAUUAAAAUAAAUAUCUUAU
Molecule: long non-coding RNA, 347 nt
Organism: Apis dorsata (giant honeybee)
Lineage: Eukaryota; Metazoa; Arthropoda; Insecta; Hymenoptera; Apidae
Exons: 2
Source: RefSeq, a predicted model, not a curated record